UACGUAGGGUGCAAGCGUUGUCCGGAAUUAUUGGGCGUAAAGAGCUCGUAGGCGGUUUGUCGCGUCUGCUGUGAAAACUCGGGGCUUAACUCCGGGCCUGCAGUGGGUACGGGCAGACUAGAGUGUGGUAGGGGAGACUGGAAUUCCUGGUGUAGCGGUGAAAUGCGCAGAUAUCAGGAGGAACACCGAUGGCGAAGGCAGGUCUCUGGGCAUUAACUGACGCUGAGGAGCGAAAGCAUGGGGAGCGAACAGG
RNAcentral lists this ribosomal RNA (253 nucleotides) under uncultured bacterium. RNAcentral describes it as "partial 16S ribosomal RNA". It matches the Rfam family "Bacterial small subunit ribosomal RNA", at positions 524 to 776 of the family's 1533-position model. The record is from RNAcentral.